This 368-nucleotide non-coding RNA is filed under the name Nicotiana sylvestris (wood tobacco). RNAcentral's name for it is "Bacterial large subunit ribosomal RNA". It matches the Rfam family "Bacterial large subunit ribosomal RNA", at positions 931 to 1290 of the family's 2925-position model. The record is from Rfam by way of RNAcentral. Lineage: Eukaryota; Viridiplantae; Streptophyta; Magnoliopsida; Solanales; Solanaceae.
UUAGGCUAUAUAUGGGGAAACUCCGAAUACAGGCCUAGAUUAUUUGUACAGACAAACUUUUUGGGUGCUACGAUCCAAAGUCGAGAGGGAAACAACCCAGAUCGUACGCUAAGGUCCCUAAGCAAUCGCUUAAUGAAAAAGGAAGUGAUCGAGUGAUGACAACCAGGAGCUGGGCUUGGAAGCAGCCAUCCUUUGAAGAAAGCGUAAUUGCUCACUAGUCUAGCUCCAUCGCACCGAAAAUGUAUUAGGGCUCAAGUGAUUCAACGAAGCGACGAGACUUUGAAAGCUACUUUUUCAAGUGUCAGUAGCAGAAUGUUCUGUCAAUCGGGGAAGGUUUUUGGUGACAAGACCUGGAGAUAUCAGAAGUG